Long non-coding RNA from Brassica napus (rape), 802 nucleotides. RefSeq lists it as uncharacterized. The transcript is spliced from 2 exons. The record is from RefSeq and is a predicted model, not a curated record. Lineage: Eukaryota; Viridiplantae; Streptophyta; Magnoliopsida; Brassicales; Brassicaceae.
UCGUUAGUCCAUUAUUUGAGUAAAUUCUCCAGGGAAGUUAGAGUUUAUAGUGAUGCAAUUGUACCAUGAACGUAGUUAAAAAACUAAAAAAAUUACAUAUGAUGGGCUUUGUUGUUACUGAACAUAUUUAGCAAAUAAUUACAUUACCAAAUAUGGGUCUAAAUUUGUUAUAGUAGAGCCCAAUAUUGUAAUAGAUAACUCAAAAAUCCUACUACAUACGAUGGACUUUUUGAAAAUUGAACAUAUUCAGUCCAUUUCUUUUAUGAAUUAUGCAAUAAAUUAAAUAAUAACAAAUUGACUCUCUCGGGACAAAAAAGGAUUAGGGUUCUAACAAAAUCAAGAUAUUUCACCAGAGGAACACAGGUGAGAAGACGUCUACGAACUACCGAGCAUAUUGUAUUCUUAUUAUUUGUCCCUACCACCAAUUCUUUCCGAUUACUGAUUCUUUUUUCUUUUCAAUUGAUCUCAUUGAAAAAAAAAACAAAUUUCCCCGACGAUCCUCUGAUUCAUCUGCAAAUCAUUGUCCUCAAAUGGCUUUGGGGAAGAGACGCGGUGGAUUGGUGAUUGCUGGCUGAAUGAUUCCAAAACUGAUACGGAUACAGUGUGCAGAUAACUGAAGAAUCGAACAUAUAUUGUUUCAGUAUGAUGGAUCUAUUGUGUUUCAGUACUGUCCAGGGUCCAGGGAGCAAUGAUCGUGUAACAUAGUUUCUAUUGUAUCUCCUAUAUAUUAUUUGAGAAACAUUGCAACAUUUUUUGUAGCCACGUGUCAUCACUAGAAUGAUUCUUAGAAUCCUUAGAGAAA